AGAGCGAACGCUGGCGGCGUGCUUAACACAUGCAAGUCGAGUGCGCGUCCCGAUAGCAAUAUCGGGAUGGCGCACGGCGCACGGGUGCGUAACACGUGGGCAAUCUGCCCUCGGAUGGGGGAUACCCCCGCGAAAGCGGGACUAAUACCGCAUGACAUUCCUGGGACUCCGGUCCCGGGACUCAAAGCCCGCAAGGGCGUCUGAGGAGGAGCCCGCGCCCGAUUAGCUAGUUGGUGAGGUAACGGCUCACCAAGGCUUUGAUCGGUA
RNAcentral lists this ribosomal RNA (267 nucleotides) under uncultured bacterium. RNAcentral describes it as "partial small subunit ribosomal RNA". It matches the Rfam family "Bacterial small subunit ribosomal RNA", at positions 26 to 285 of the family's 1533-position model. The record is from RNAcentral.